Molecule: non-coding RNA, 117 nt
Organism: Danio rerio (zebrafish)
Lineage: Eukaryota; Metazoa; Chordata; Actinopteri; Cypriniformes; Danionidae
Source: Rfam
GGCCACAGCCACAUCACCCUGCAGCCCAAGACCGGUUACUCACUGAAGCUAAGCAGGGCUGAGAAUGGUCAGUACCCGGAUGGGAGACCACAUGGGGAAACUAAUUUGCUGUUGGAA